Molecule: ribosomal RNA, 1862 nt
Filed under: Campylobacter coli
Lineage: Bacteria; Pseudomonadati; Campylobacterota; Epsilonproteobacteria; Campylobacterales; Campylobacteraceae
Description: partial 23S ribosomal RNA
Rfam family: Bacterial large subunit ribosomal RNA
Source: RNAcentral
AGGUAAGCUACUAAGAGCGAAUGGUGGAUGCCUUGACUGGUAAAGGCGAUGAAGGACGUACUAGACUGCGAUAAGCUACGGGGAGCUGUCAAGAAGCUUUGAUCCGUAGAUUUCCGAAUGGGGCAACCCAAUGUAUAGAGAUAUACAUUACCUAUAUAGGAGCGAACGAGGGGAAUUGAAACAUCUUAGUACCCUCAGGAAAAGAAAUCAAUAGAGAUUGCGUCAGUAGCGGCGAGCGAAAGCGCAAGAGGGCAAACCCAGUGCUUGCACUGGGGGUUGUAGGACUGCAAUGUGCAAGAGGUGAGUUUAGCAGAACAUUCUGGAAAGUAUAGCCAUAGAGGGUGAUAGUCCCGUAUGCGAAAAACAAACCUUAGCUAGCAGUAUCCUGAGUAGGGCGGGACACGAGGAAUCCUGUCUGAAUCCGGGUCGACCACGAUCCAACCCUAAAUACUAAUACCAGAUCGAUAGUGCACAAGUACCGUGAGGGAAAGGUGAAAAGAACUGAGGUGAUCAGAGUGAAAUAGAACCUGAAACCAUUUGCUUACAAUCAUUCAGAGCCCUAUGUAGCAAUACAGGGUGAUGGACUGCCUUUUGCAUAAUGAGCCUGCGAGUUGUGGUGUCUGGCAAGGUUAAGCAAACGUGAAGCCGUAGCGAAAGCGAGUCUGAAUAGGGCGCUUAGUCAGAUGCUGCAGACCCGAAACGAAGUGAUCUAUCCAUGAGCAAGUUGAAGCUAGUGUAAGAACUAGUGGAGGACUGAACCCAUAGGCGUUGAAAAGCCCCGGGAUGACUUGUGGAUAGGGGUGAAAGGCCAAUCAAACUUCGUGAUAGCUGGUUCUCUCCGAAAUAUAUUUAGGUAUAGCGUUGUGUCGUAAUAUAAGGGGGUAGAGCACUGAAUGGGCUAGGGCAUACACCAAUGUACCAAACCCUAUCAAACUCCGAAUACCUUAUAUGUAAUCACAGCAGUCAGGCGGCGAGUGAUAAAAUCCGUCGUCAAGAGGGAAACAACCCAGACUACCAGCUAAGGUCCCUAAAUCUUACUUAAGUGGAAAACGAUGUGAAGUUACUUAAACAACCAGGAGGUUGGCUUAGAAGCAGCCAUCCUUUAAAGAAAGCGUAAUAGCUCACUGGUCUAGUGAUUUUGCGCGGAAAAUAUAACGGGGCUAAAGUAAGUACCGAAGCUGUAGACUUGCGCACAACUUAGAUUAUUUAAGUUUAGAAUAUGAGAAACUAAGUUAUAUGUUUAGUUAUAUUUUUACUGAUUUUUAUAGAGUAAAGAUAGAAAUAAAACUUAGUAAAAUCAGUAAAAAUAUUCUUAGACUAAAGUUAAGUAGUUUAAGUUGUGUGCAAGUGGUAGGAGAGCGUUCUAUUUGCGUCGAAGGUAUACCGGUAAGGAGUGCUGGAGCGAAUAGAAGUGAGCAUGCAGGCAUGAGUAGCGAUAAUUAAUGUGAGAAUCAUUAACGCCGUAAACCCAAGGUUUCCUACGCGAUGCUCGUCAUCGUAGGGUUAGUCGGGUCCUAAGUCGAGUCCGAAAGGGGUAGACGAUGGCAAAUUGGUUAAUAUUCCAAUACCAACAUUAGUGUGCGAUGGAAGGACGCUUAGGGCUAAGGGGGCUAGCGGAUGGAAGUGCUAGUCUAAGGUCGUAGGAGGUUAUACAGGCAAAUCCGUAUAACAAUACUCCGAGAACUGAAAGGCUUUUUGAAGUCUUCGGAUGGAUAGAAGAACCCCUGAUGCCGUCGAGCCAAGAAAAGUUUCUAAGUUUAGCUAAUGUUGCCCGUACCGUAAACCGACACAGGUGGGUGGGAUGAGUAUUCUAAGGCGCGUGGAAGAACUCUCUUUAAGGAACUCUGCAAAAUAGCACCGUA